This 256-nucleotide long non-coding RNA is filed under the name Malus domestica (apple). Its description in RNAcentral is "long non-coding RNA (MDOM_LNC005955)". Lineage: Eukaryota; Viridiplantae; Streptophyta; Magnoliopsida; Rosales; Rosaceae. The record is from RNAcentral.
AAGAGAGAUAGUGGGAGUUUAGGGACCUUGACUAUGGUAGUCAAAGGAGAAGUCAAAUGAAGAAAACGAAAUAAACUCCAAGGGAACAAACUUUCUUUAUGAAAGGAUGGACAUUGGAAGGGGUAUUUGCAAGAAAUGUCUUGCAAGUGUCAAGAACACACCUUUCGAAGGUGUUGUAAAAUGUUCUUGAAUAGUUCAAAACAGUUGGUUCUUCUACUUGAAUGUUUGAUUCCGUAUUAGUAACUAUGUUUUACAA